Non-coding RNA from Zootermopsis nevadensis, 1061 nucleotides. The record is from RefSeq and is a predicted model, not a curated record. NCBI's taxonomy places the organism in Eukaryota, Metazoa, Arthropoda, Insecta, Blattodea, Termopsidae.
CUCCCAGUCAGUAGUUUGACACUAUUCUGACUGAGAAAUCCUUUCUCAUUGAGGUUGCCAUGUACUCAGUUGAAUUAUAAGUAUAGUUCACUAUGUCUUUCUUUGUGUACAUGUUCAUUUAGUCAUCCAGUGAUAUAAGUGAACUUUCUCACCCAGCACAGGAACUGUGAUAUCUUCUGGCGUCAGAGAAUGGCAGAAUUUAUUACAAAUGGCUAAGAAUUGCAAGUAUUAGGAGCGCUGAUAUGCUGUCUGUGGCCAAAUUUCAAUGGCCUGUUACCUGCAUCAUACCUUCUCCAGGCUUAUCAGAGAUUGUGAUGUGCUUUACCCCUGGGAAAGGAUUGUCGCACCCAUUGGAUAGUAGGCUGGGUGGGGCCCAGAGCCGGUCUGAAUGCAGUGGCUAGAGGAAAACUUCUCUGCCACCGAUGGACAUCAAAUUCCAGUCGUCCAGCCUGUAGCUAACAACAGAUCAAAUCCUAAUGACGGGGAUGGAGGUGGUCCUUGAAAUGUUUAUUGUUAACCAACUGAUAUGACUGUCAGCCUGAGAAGAUUUUACUGAUGGAACUGGUUUAACAUAAUGGCACAACUUAUAUGAGUGGCAGGAUGACUUAGGGGAAUUGAAGGAAACUGUAUGUUGACAAUGUCACUAUCUUCCAUGGUUCCUGAAUCACUGAUAUUGUUGAACACAGGUUGCAAGUUUCUAUAAGUGAUCCAUUAUGGUGGGAUGGAGAACGUAUUUCUUUCUCUGCAGCUGUGGUCUGUUCAGAAUACUAGAUGAUGAACAAAAUCCAGGAACUGAGUAAUACUAACUGUGAAACAUCAUUUACAAUUGGCAUUGGCCUUUGUUUCAUAUUGACCCUCACAUCUGUAAUGAUCAAGGUGUACCCAUUAUCAUUUUCAGAGUGCACAGUAAUGUAAUAAUUGUGUAAUUGCAUAGAUUACUGUAUUUAUAAUUUUUAUUGAAAAUCAGCGAUGUAAGAAUUAGAUUUAGUAUAAGAAUCAGUUCGAGAUACAUUGUAAAAUGUUAUAAGUAAUAGUAAAAUGUAUUUUUUUCACUUUUUGGC